CACCCCCUUCCUCUUGUUUCAUCCCAGAUCCACACACCCAAGUCUUGGUCGGCUAUAGAAGGAGAGAGAUCAAUGAGAGAGAGAGAGAGAGAGAAAAGUGAAGGAGAAAAGAGUUCUCCCAUUGUCUCUUGCAUCCUCUGAUCCUGUGCAAAAGGAGUUCACAUGUAGAUCCAUCUUCGGAUCCUCUUCUAUGAUAAUCAAAGAGGGAGAUCAGAUCUAGAUCAGAGAAGUG
RNAcentral lists this long non-coding RNA (232 nucleotides) under Elaeis guineensis (African oil palm). Its description in RNAcentral is "long non-coding RNA (EGUI_LNC066646)". The record is from RNAcentral. Lineage: Eukaryota; Viridiplantae; Streptophyta; Magnoliopsida; Arecales; Arecaceae.